GGCGGACGGGUGAGUAAUGCUUAGGAAUCUGCCUAUUAGAUGGGGGACAACAUUCCGAAAGGAAUGCUAAUACCGCAUACGUCCUACGGGAGAAAGCAGGGGACCUUCGGGCCUUGCGCUAAUAGAUGAGCCUAAGUCGGAUUAGCUAGUUGGUGGGGUAAAGGCCUACCAAGGCGACGAUCUGUAGCGGGUCUGAGAGGAUGAUCCGCCACACUGGGACUGAGACACGGCCCAGACUCCUACGGGAGGCAGCAGUGGGGAAUAUUGGACAAUGGGGGGAACCCUGAUCCAGCCAUGCCGCGUGUGUGAAGAAGGCCUUUUGGUUGUAAAGCACUUUAAGCGAGGAGGAGGCUACUAGUAUUAAUACUACUGGAUAGUGGACGUUACUCGCAGAAUAAGCACCGGCUAACUCUGUGCCAGCAGCCGCGGUAAUACAGAGGGUGCGAGCGUUAAUCGGAUUUACUGGGCGUAAAGCGUGCG
This 480-nucleotide ribosomal RNA is filed under the name uncultured bacterium PHOS-HD43. Its description in RNAcentral is "bacterial SSU rRNA". It matches the Rfam family "Bacterial small subunit ribosomal RNA", at positions 97 to 571 of the family's 1533-position model. Lineage: Bacteria; Pseudomonadati; Pseudomonadota; Gammaproteobacteria. The record is from RNAcentral.